AUCGCUUCUCGGCCUUUUGGCUAAGAUCAAGUGCAGUAUCUCUUGUUGGAGAGACCCCCCCCCCCCCCCCCCGCACAGCUGGUCCAAAGCAGGUCCCCUUGACAUUCUGCAUCUCAGCCCCUUGUUUAUUCUUUUUUUUUUUUUAAUUUUUUUUUCUAACGUUU
The sequence is a small nuclear RNA, 164 nucleotides long. Its record names the gene U2. It matches the Rfam family "U2 spliceosomal RNA". Rfam says of the family: U2 is a small nuclear RNA (snRNA) component of the spliceosome (involved in pre-mRNA splicing). The record is from Ensembl.